AUGGACAGAACAGCUGACCCCGGUAAAUCCAAAGGUGGAGGAAUGUGUUUCAUGAUUAACAAGAAAUGGUGUGAUCCCAGGAAUAUCUCUACUCUGUCGCGCUCCUGCUCGCCUCAUCUGGAACAUUUAUCCAUUAUUUGCCGCCCAUUCUAUCUACCCAAGGUGUUUUCAUUGAUCAUCGUUACUGCUGUUUACAUCCCACCACAUGCAGCUCUUAUCAUCGCUGGGGACUUUAACAAAGGCAACCUCAGGCAGGUUAUGCCGAACUUUUAUCAACAUGUAUCCUCUCCAACCAGAGGACCGAAUACACUGGAUCAUUGCUACACUCAGUUUAAGCAUGCCUACAAAGCUCGCUCACUACCGGCUUUUGGCAAAUCGGCCCAUGCCACAAUUUUCCUCACACCGGAGUAUAAACAAAGGUUCGUUCAAGAAACCCCAGUGCAGAGGGUGGUGACGCACAGGUCCACCCACUCAGAAGCUAUACUACAGGCGGCUCUUGAUGACUUAGACUGGGACAGUCUUCGGGCAAUUUCAUCUGACGUCAGCGAGUUCACGGAUGUAGCAUUAAGCUUUGUAAACACGCUAGCCGAGCAAGCAACUGAAACAAUAACUAUAAGGACCUUCUCUAAUCAGAAACCAUGGGUGGACAGAACAAUCUGUGCAGCAGUAAACAAACGCACUGCUGCAUACAUCGCCAGUCUUUUGUCAGGUAAUAUGAACGAGUACAAAGCAUCAUGCUAUGCUCUCCGACGCACAGUAAGAGCCACCAAACACCGAUACAGGGAACAAAUAGAGUCGCAUUUACAGCUAAAUGACAGCAAUAACGGGAACUAUGUAAGGCUGCUAUUUAUCGAUUAUAGCUCAGCUUUCAAUACUUUAGUCCCCAUCAAGCUUGUUUUUAAACUCAUAGACCUCGGUCUAAACUCUUCACUCAGCGACUGGAUUCAAGACUUCCUCACCGGCAGACCUCAAGUGGUGAAAGUAGGCCAGUUCAUCUCCAGCUCCAUCACCCUGAACAUAGGAGCCCCACAGGGCUGUGUCAUGAGUCCCCUGCUCUACUCUCUCUAUACACAUGACUGUGUCUUCCCACAGCUCCACAUCUAUAGUCUAAUUUGCUGA
Molecule: long non-coding RNA, 1119 nt
Organism: Cyprinus carpio (common carp)
Lineage: Eukaryota; Metazoa; Chordata; Actinopteri; Cypriniformes; Cyprinidae
Source: Ensembl